CUGCAUUCUUAAACCCUCUUGGCAGCUUCGUUUUAAGUGCUUCCAAGAUAGGAGUGAAUGCUAGAGAAAUUGCGGGAGAGUCCAAAGGGCUGCGCUUGUCCUGUGGCUCAGUCAUAUUUCAUACCUGCGACAUUU
Heterocephalus glaber (naked mole-rat) is the source of this 135-nucleotide small nucleolar RNA. Ensembl annotates it as small nucleolar RNA, H/ACA box 14A. The record is from Ensembl. Lineage: Eukaryota; Metazoa; Chordata; Mammalia; Rodentia; Bathyergidae.